Molecule: ribosomal RNA, 427 nt
Filed under: uncultured Sporomusa sp.
Lineage: Bacteria; Bacillati; Bacillota; Negativicutes; Selenomonadales; Sporomusaceae
Description: bacterial SSU rRNA
Rfam family: Bacterial small subunit ribosomal RNA
Source: RNAcentral
GGGGAAUAUUGGGCAAUGGACGCAAGUCUGACCCAGCAACGCCGCGUGAGUGACGAAGGUCUUCGGAUUGUAAAGCUCUGUCGUUUGGGACGAACGUGGAUUGUGUGAAUAAUGCAAUCUAAUGACGGUACCAAAGGAAGAAGCCACGGCUAACUCCGUGCCAGCAGCCGCGGUAAUACGUAGGUGGCAAGCGUUGUCCGGAAUUAUUGGGCGUAAAGGGCGUGUAGGUGGAUUCUUAAGUCGUGUGUCUAAGUGCGGUGCUCAACACCGUAUGGGCGCAGGAAACUGGGAAUCUUGAGUGCAGGAGAGGAAAGUGGAAUUCCCAGUGUAGCGGUGUAAUGCGUAGAUAUUGGGAGGAACACCAGUGGCGCAGGCGACUUUCUGGACUGUGUCUGACACUGAGGCGCGAACGCCAGAGGAGCGAACG